CCAUGCUAAUAAAAGAGAAGUUUUUGGGUAUUGAAAUAGGUUGAUUUCAAUGUGAAAAGGCUGCUGGUUGGCUAUUGUUUUAACAUAGAAAAUUAGAGCUCCUGGCGUGCAGAUAAAGAGAGGAAAAAGGUCUUCCUCAAAGGCUGAAAAAUAGAAAAAUUGUUCCUCCUUCUUGGCAUGACAAAAGGUGAGGAAGAAGGUCUUCCUCAUGGGUUG
Molecule: long non-coding RNA, 216 nt
Filed under: Elaeis guineensis (African oil palm)
Lineage: Eukaryota; Viridiplantae; Streptophyta; Magnoliopsida; Arecales; Arecaceae
Description: long non-coding RNA (EGUI_LNC037028)
Source: RNAcentral